AACGCGAAGAACCUUACCUGGGCUUGAAACAAGCUACUGACCAACGGUAGAAAUAUCGUCUUCCCGCAAGGGGACAGUAGUAGAGGUGCUGCAUGGCUGUCGUCAGCUCGUGCCGUGAGGUGUUGGGUUAAGUCCCGCAACGAGCGCAACCCUUACUAGUAGUUGCUACCCGCAAGGGAGAACUCUACUAGGACUGCUCCGGAUAACGGAGAGGAAGGUGGGGAUGACGUCAAGUCAGCACGGCCUUUAUGUCCAGGGCUACACACGUGUUACAAUGCAUGGUACAGACUGUUGCGAACCCGCGAGGGGGAGCUAAUCGGACAAAACCAUGCUCAGUUCGGAUUGCAGUCUGCAACUCGGCUAAGCAUGAAGCUGGAAUCGCUAGUAAUGGCGUAUCAGAUCGACGCCGUGAAUACGUUCGCCGGGUCNUAGUACACACCG
This 441-nucleotide ribosomal RNA is filed under the name uncultured bacterium. Its description in RNAcentral is "bacterial SSU rRNA". It matches the Rfam family "Bacterial small subunit ribosomal RNA", at positions 958 to 1392 of the family's 1533-position model. The record is from RNAcentral.